RNAcentral lists this ribosomal RNA (155 nucleotides) under uncultured delta proteobacterium. RNAcentral's name for it is "partial 16S ribosomal RNA". It matches the Rfam family "Bacterial small subunit ribosomal RNA", at positions 396 to 540 of the family's 1533-position model. Lineage: Bacteria; Deltaproteobacteria. The record is from RNAcentral.
GCCGCGUGGAUGAUGAAGGCCUUCGGGUCGUAAAAUCCUGUCAGAUGGAAAGAAAUGUAUGGUGGCUAAUACCUGCCAUAUUUGACGGUACCAUCAAAGGAAGCACCGGCUAACUCCGUGCCAGCAGCCGCGGUAAUAAUCGAAUUCCCGCGGCC